Molecule: long non-coding RNA, 3040 nt
Organism: Oreochromis aureus
Lineage: Eukaryota; Metazoa; Chordata; Actinopteri; Cichliformes; Cichlidae
Exons: 3
Source: RefSeq, a predicted model, not a curated record
UUGUGAUAUUUUAUUGAUAUUUGUGAAGAAAGGGUACAAAAUCUCCCACUCUGCAAAAAAAUCAUCUGAUCUGUAUCUACAUUGUCUUAUAGUUUACAGGAAAUUUUCACCCCAACCCCUUCAUUUUUUUAGUAACAAAAAACAGACUGAACUGUUUGUUUGUGUUGAAAAGUUUGUUUUGUCAAUUUUGGUCAUACAUUUCAAAGAAUAAUCCUCCUUGCAAAAUUGCUCAUUGGCUAAUAACUCAUGAUUGACAAGUUGUUAGCCAAAGAGCAAGCAGUUCCACAGUCUGACCUCAGCCUCUUUGUCACAUUCAUUUUUGUUGUUUUUAAACCAGGAUUGCAUCUGUGAAACUGCUAAUCACAGAGCACGGCACUUCAGAAACCAAUGGAUGGCAUCACGGUAGCUAUAUCCUCUUUUAUACUUUCUGUGUAUGUAACUAGCUAGCAAAGACGGCGUAGCAUUUAGCUAGAACCAGACAUUCUGCAGCAUUUUGUCUAAAGACAAAUAUAAGCAAAGUGUCCAAAUAAGUGUUUCUCAGAGUAUAUGUAUUUGUAAGUUGAACAUGUGCCUGCAACUGUAAAUGUUAAAAUAUGGCAUCCUCUUUUUUGUAGCUAAGAAUACCUGUAUUAGCUAGCAAUCACAGUUUUAACAUGUAAUUAGAUAAGUUUAAAUUCAUUCAUUGAGCUUUUUAAUGGCAGAAAAAAUAUAUAGUGAAAAAGUAGCUUCCUCAAAACCAAUUUUGUCCUUGAGAAUUUCUGCAGAAGUAAAAUAACUUCUUCCACAGGACGAAAGAGAAUGCUAAUGAGCAUGUGCAGAGUAAGUGUAAUCUCCAGCUUGUUUAUGCUCCGCUACAAUUGCCCCAUUUUACCAAAUGCUCCCGGUCUUCUACCGCUGGUAUUUGGGAUUGUGCUACUGGUCAGUAACAAUACCACAGACAUGUUUAUAAUCUUUGUUGAUAAGAAAAUAAAUGAAAAGGGAUGAGAUAGGCCAGGGGCUGCGUUUUUUUUGGAAGGUCUAACUGAGCAUCUGCAGUGGCUCCUAGGCAUGGCUUAUUUCCUUGGUACCUAAGAGAGAGGAUGACACACAGAGACAGAGGAAAGGGGUAAAGGUCAUGGAAACGAGGGCAAACAGAUGCAUAGUGUUGUGUGGAGUGCAAUAAAAGUAGGCUAUCUUUAGAUUCUGCCAAAACACAGCUGAUGGGUUGUUGUUUUUAAAGCCUCACAGACAUUGGUUCCUGGCCUUUGGAAGUUAUAUGGACUAACUCCCUGGGUCUGCUCUCCACUGAACCAAUAAAAGGCAAGUACACCAGACAACUGUUUCAUGCUCUUUUCCCUUUCCCCUGACCUCCUGUAUCUUCCUAUCUUUCUGAACAUGGCAUAUCUUCACACCCACUCCCUGGGAGAUGGAGGGAUGCUGAAAAUGAAAAGAAAAACAAUUAGUAGCUCUGAUGAGCCCGUGUGAGGUAAUGAAAUUGCGUGUCUCAUUGUAGCGUGUAAUGGAGAGCAGUUUGAAGUUAAUUGAGGGGAGAUAGGACACUGGGCCACUGUCUGCCAGAGUAUUGUAGUAGGGAACAGGAUUUAUCGGGGAGGGAAUCACUGAACCCAGAAAAAAAAAAAAAAAACAAUUCCUUAUCAGACAUCACAAAUGAGAAUUACUUGGCUUUAUCAGACUAGAUAGCAAGAUAAAUUGUUAUCAUAAUUAAAUUCAUAUUCUUUUCAUCUGUUUCUAGGUCAGGUUCAUGGUCACAAAGGGCCUGGCAGAACCACACUGGAGCCAAACAUUUAAGCCAAUCCAUGUUGAAAUUUAGUGCCAAAACCGCAUAUUAUCUUUUUUAAUUUUUAUAUUUUAUCCCUUUUCCUUAAACCAAUAAUAACUAUUAACUAUAUUUGCACACGUCUAUCAGUAAUAGAGAACCUGAGGAGUUGUUUUCAUAGCAUGACCUGACUGGUAAAUCUUCAGAAACAGUGUUGCAGUCUUGGGACUGAUACUCUUGUGGUUUUUAGAAGGAGAUAAAGUGCCACCUUCUGGUGGAAGGGCUGAAGGAUGGCAAUGUUCUGCUCUGUUAACUUGUGUCACCAUUAAUGUGUCUUAAAAGAAUGAGUGUAGGGGUAGAAAACUGCCUUCGCAGAGUUCAAAUAGAGAAAACAAAGCCGUGAAUCCCUGGGCAAGCCAUAACAAAACCUCGGUGCAUAGCAUAGAUCUUAUUUCAACAGUCUUUGAUGCACGUGCACAGUAAAAUCCUGUCAAUAUGAGUCUGUUUUAGAAUUUUCCUGCAUGUCUAAUUAUACAAAUGUUUUGUUUAACUCGCAAAUGAAUAACAACAGACUUGGCUCUUAAACUCUACUGUUUCUUUGCAUGACAGGUUUUUUGCAUGGUGGCCACAUUGCACAUGCUUAGCAGAGAGUCGAGGGUUUAAACAAGAUGUAUAAAUGCCACGAUGCAUAAAGAAAAGCUACGAAGCCCUGAGUCUGUUGCAUGUGAUGGGCGGGGAGUGUUUCUCGUCUCUCAGGCAGCGCUGACAAUUAAACGCAGCUUGCCUACAGUAUUGAUCAUGUCUCCCUGAUAGGCAGACCAGAACCACAGCACCUGUAUUCAUUAAACAACCUGUUUAGCAACCAUGCAGCGGAAGGAGAAGUCUGAGUCUGUUUGCAAAAAGAAAAAAAAAGUGCCACAGGCCACAAAACACCUGGAAGAUUGCACGGAAACUUUUCAACAGAGCGUCACGGAAGGAAGGAACCGACAGAAAGGGGGAAACACUUCAUGACCUUCGCUUAAGAAAAAGGAAAAGAAAAAAAACAGAGCAGUGAGAAGAGUCUUAAAGGGAAAACAGCACCAAAAGAAACAGUCAUGUUAAAUUGGAUGUGUUUAUUGGAAUAAUUAUUGGAAUGAGACAGUUAUUUGUUGCCUUAUUGCUUUAUAAACACUCGUUCGCUUUUGAGGUUUGGGAAUGAAAUGUUGACAAUUCUGACUCGCCCCUGUGAAAUUAAGAAAUGGUUUUGCAACCUAUUCAAUGAAUAUUAAAAAGAAGAUGCAUAUU